This 78-nucleotide non-coding RNA is filed under the name Alexandrium minutum. The record is from RNAcentral. Lineage: Eukaryota; Dinophyceae; Gonyaulacales; Pyrocystaceae.
UUUUUUUUUUUUUUUUUUUUUUUUUUUUUUUUUUUUUUUUUGAGAUUUGACAAAACCACCGCUGCAAGUCUGAAAAUC